RNAcentral lists this ribosomal RNA (200 nucleotides) under uncultured bacterium. RNAcentral's name for it is "partial 16S ribosomal RNA". It matches the Rfam family "Bacterial small subunit ribosomal RNA", at positions 8 to 212 of the family's 1533-position model. The record is from RNAcentral.
AGAGUUUGAUCCUGGCUCAGGACGAACGCUGGCGGCGUGCCUAAUACAUGCAAGUCGAGCGGUUCCUUCGGGAAUAGCGGCGGACGGGUGAGUAACACGUAGGCAACCUGCCUGCAAGAUCGGGAUAACUAUCGGAAACGAUAGCUAAGACCGGGUAGCUGGCUCGCUUGCAUGAGCGGGUCAUGAAACACGGAGCAAUC